CUCCUGGUGACUCCUGGUCGAAGCUUGAAGUCCAGUGGUCUGAGGAGAUGGCAGACAUGGGGUGAGUAACCACACUGUUAGAUGAGGGUGAGCUGUAGGUGACCUGUGGGCAGAGUUCUGAUUGUCCGGGUGUUCAGCACCUGAAGUAGAUCACAGAGCAAAUGGUGUCUGUUCCUGGACAGUAUCACAACUGGGCCAGAGCUAUGGAUGGAAUAGGCAGAAGUAUCAGGUUGGGGCCCCAGCUCUCUCUCUGGGCCUCUGCUUCAUGAGCAGUAAAAUGGGAGAGUUCCCUGGUGGAUCGACAGGUUAAGGAUCCAGUGUUGUCUCUGCUGUGGCUCAGGUCUCUGCUGUGGCAUGGGUCCGAUCCCUGGUUCCAGACCUUCUGCAUGCUUCUCCCCCAAAAAAGUCCCAACAAGCAGAAAAAUGGGAAUGAUGAUAGUGGCUUGAUGGGAGUAUUGGUGAGGAUCCAGUGUGGUAAAUUAGCCCAAGGGGCUGGACCACAGAGGAUGCUCUGAGUACGUGGGCAAACCUUGGCUUAUUGUCAGCUUUGCCAGUUGUUCUCAGACUCUGGUCCACAUCUGACCACCUGCAGGAGUUUUGACAUAUGCCGGACCCUGCCCUGAGAUUCUGAGCCAGCAGAAGGACAGGCCUUUAGAGGCUCCAUAGACGAUCCUGAUACCCACAAAAGUUCAAGAACACUGAGCAUGCUGUCAUUCAUUGAAGGAGUUCGCUGAGCUCUUUCUUCAGUGUCGGUGCCUUAGGUCCACUCAGUGAGAGUGGUAGCAGAAGUCACUGACUGGGAGCACCAGGAAAGCAUGAAUGGCUGGAACCUGGAAAUCGUACUAAGUCUCACUGUCUCACCAUUUCUGGGUACUGAGUAAGAAAUAGCUCUGUGUGGUGGUUCUGGGCCUAACUCCUGGCUCUGCUGCAUACUGGGUGUGUAACCCUGCAUGGAUUAUUUAACUUUCCCAUCUUUAAAUAAGUAUAAAUGUCCUAAGGUUUUAUUGUAAUUAAAUGAAAUGAUGCACACCAAGUACCUAGAUCAGGGCCUGACGUUGUAUAAAUAUCUGCAGAGUAAAUAACCAAAUGAGAGUUGAUUAUCAUUUAAUUUUACUAUUUUUGGCAAAAAUUCUUAUCUUGCCCAGUUCCCCCAAAUCCAUCCUCUUCUUUCUAGGCACAUGGCUGGCUACUCAGCUAGACUACAUUUCCCAGCCACUCAUGGGCAUAGUGUGGCCAUAAGGCCAGGUUCUUAUCAUGAACUCUGAACACAAGUGAUGCUUGCAACUUUCACAUGUGGGCUUUCCACCCUUCCUGUCCACUGGCUGGGAAGACAGCAAGUUCGGCCACCUUGGAAGUCAUGGAGUGGAAGGGCACAGCUGACCCAGGAGACUGUAUCUUGAUAGGACGACCUCUUUUUUAAAAUUUUUUUAAAAUAAAAAACAUUUUAAGCAUGUAAUUCAGUGGCUUACCACUGAUUCUAGAACAUUUUCAUCACCCCCCAAAGAAACCCUGUCCUCAUCAGCGGUCACUCCCCUUUGUUCCUCCACUCCCAGCCCCUGACAACCACUAAUCUACUUUCUGUCUCUAUGGAUCUGCCUGUUAUGGACAUUUCACAUAAAAGGAAUCAGAAGUUCCCACCCUGGCUCAGUGGUUAAUGAAUCUGACUAGGAGCCAUGAGGUUGUGGGUUUGAUCCCUGGCCUUGCUCAGUAGGUUAAGGAUCCAGCAUUGCUGUGAGCUGUGGGGUAGGUUGCAGAUGCAGUUCGGAUGCCAUGUUGCUGUGGCUGUGGUGUCAGCCGGCGGCUACAGCUCUGAUUAGACCCCUAGCCUGGGAACCUCCAUAUGCUGCAGGUGUGGCCCUAAAAAGACAAAAGACAAUAAAUAAAUAGAAAUAAAAUUAAUUAAUUAAAUAAAAAAAUAAAAGGAAUCAGACAAUACAUGGUCUCUUAUGAAUGACUUCUUUCACUUAACAUAAUGUUUUCAAAGUUUUAUCCAUGUUGCAGCAUUUGCUAGUACUUCGUGUUUUUUUUUUAUGGCUAAUAGUAGUUCGUUGCAUGUGUGCAUACUACGUUUUGUUUAUCCAUUCAUUAAUUGGUGGACAUUUGGGUUGUUUCCACUUUUUUGGCCAUUAAGAAUAAUGCUGCUUGGGGAGUUCCCAGGCUAGGAGUCAAAUGGGAGCUUUAGUUGCCAGCCUACACCACAGCCACAACAACAUGGGAUCUGAGCCACAUCUGUGACCUACACCACAGCUUACGGCAACACCGGAUCCUAACCCACUGAGUGAGGCCAGGGAUUGAACCCGAGUCCUCAUGGAUACUAGUUGGGUUCGUUACCACUGAACCACAAAUGGGAACUCCAGUCCUUGCCUUUUGGGAUGUCUUUGCUACAUCAGCUCCUCUGUCACCCUCAUAUACCACCCUACUGAAUUUUCCUACCAGUGGGAAUAAAAGGACCAGAGCAACAUGUUUGGUCUGGUAUGAAACCUACAUAUAUGGAAUGGUCUUGCAUGGUCUCCACAAUCCAUGCAUCCAUUCGUCUAUUCAUCCAUCAAAAAUUUGUGAGCUCUGAUGAUUUGCCAAACAUUAUGAACCAGGGUCCCAGCCUUCAGAGAUCUUACAGUUUGGCUAGAAAGCCAGGCAGUUUGACCACUGGGAUAGAUUCAGGGCUUGCAAUUCAGGCAAAACUGGGUGGGGUCCAGAUUUCUGCCUCACUUGUGGAUGAAGUGUUCUCAGCAGGUUGCUUCAGCUCUCUGAGCCUCACUUUGCUCAUCGGUAAAGUGGGAGUACUAAUGCCUAUUUGCAGGGAUUAAGAAUUAAGAAUAAUGUGUGCUAAGUGACUGACAGGAGGUGUUUGCUCCCAGUGGUUGUUUUUAAUAACCCCUCACUGUGGGGGGCACAGUGGGUUCUCCUCUGGAAUUAGGGCAGGGGUGGGGGGAGAUCCAAAGACCACUUGGUUCAACUGGAUCUGAGGGCUGGAGAGGCUUUACCCGGUGAGGAGGUGUGGGAAGGGCAGAGGGCAGCCAGCGCAAAGAUGAGAAGUCUGGAAGUUCAGGGCCUGGUUGGAAAACAGUUCUGAGCCUUCAGUAGGUAAAAAGCUCUGCCUCCCUGCCCUCUCAUCCCCGCACUCUUUGCCCUGCUCUGGUCCAGCCCUUGCAGGAGGGGUGGGGGAGGCCCUCUGGAGACCUAGGUUUCUCCCUCUUCUCCCCGCAAUCCACCCCAGAGACUUGGAGCUCUGCUCAUUCAGAUGCAGGCUUUAAUCAGAGCUUAAGACCAGUUGAAGCCCCAAGGAUCCUGGCUGCCUGACCUGAUUUUUUAAAAAUCCAGCCUCCAUCUGGGUUUGGGGGCUGCAGUGCUUCCUUACCGCAUUAGUAGGAGCGGGUUUUCUAUUUGCAUGAAAAUCAAGAGGAGGGUGAUGAUGAUGAUGACUGUACUGGUGUUAAUAAAGUAAUAAUUUUCUGUUCAGUCCCUCAGGGUGGUAGGGCAGGGAGAGCACAGCAAGAGUUAACAGGGGAUCUCACUUUGAUCCUGAUCCCGAGUCAUUCUCAGUGAGUUUCCUCUUCUGAAAAAUGAUGGGCUUGGGCUGGAUGCAUUUCCACGAUCCCCGCCACCUGACAGUCUGAGGCUCUGUGAAGGGACCCUGGGCUCUGCGACCCAGUUUGCUGUCUCCAGGAGCACCAGUCCUGUGUCUGUACUUGGCAUCCACCAGGUGACCUGGGCGAGUCCUCCCUGAUCUCUCUCCCUCCCAGAGAUGGUCUGGGGAUUGAAAGCAGGUGUGUGAACCUGGAGUGGAGGCCUGAGGGAGCAUGUUCCUGGAGGAGAGUGGGGCCCAGGUCUGGUGUGACCUGGGGCCCAGGUCUGGUGUGACCAGGUCUAAUGAACCAGCAUCUUGAGCUAGAGAGCGUGUCUCCCCUCUUGGGGCUAUGUUACUGUCAUCAUCUGUCUGUAUUUUGAUGCUUUGACAUCUGGGCCUCUGCUGACCUUAGAGGCACUGCCUCUCUGGGGGUAGCUGAUUCCUAGAGGGGAAACAACAUCCCUGCUGGUGCACUUAUCAGAUACAACCCCCCUCAUCCAGCUAUCACAUUCCUGGCCCUGGGCCCCCUGACCUAAUCACUCCAGGGCCAGGUACCAGGGACAGCCCCUGUCUCCCAGUACCUGCUGAAAUUAUUCAGACUAGCUGAUCCUGAGGCUGCUUGUCCUGCCCUGCCCUUCUUUCCUGCAGAAACCAUAAUAAAGCCUCUUGCCCCUCUCCUUCUGCCUCCUGACUGGUCCUGGUUCUUCCCAAAGUGACCCCCUCAUGCAGAGCAGGCCCUCCUAUUGGAUCUGUGAGUAACAAGCCAUUUCGUCAGUGGCAGUUGUCUCCGCUCUGUUGGAAACUCUAAAUUUCCCAGUACACUAUAUUUUAAAAUGUGGGCCCCCUGUGGCAGUGUUCAUAUCCUCAGUGCUUCCUGCGCCUCAGGCAGCAGAGUUCUUUUCUGACUCUCAGCUCUGCAGAAAGCCAGGUGUCCUCAGGACCUCCUGGUGUCGGGCGCGGUCACGCCAGGCCAGCCUGUCCGAGGCAGCCUCAUCCGCCGGUCCCUUGAGUCAGAAUGUACAGUGACGGGUCGUCAACAUGCUAGUACUGAUCUCAGGGUGGUGGGAUCCAAGAAACAUCAAGGUGUUUCUGUUUUCUUCUGUAUACUUCUCUGGGUUUUCUAGAUGUCCUAAAGGGGAACAUACAUUUCUUUCAAAGUCAGGCGAAAUGUUGCAGAAUAUUUAUUUUCCCUCUAUAUUUGAAGAAGUGCCCAAUUUGACUGCAGGCUACUGCCCCCCUACCAACGACUCAUGCUCUUUGCUGUUGGAACACAAAUGGAAUGAAGAAACCAUACUCCCUGCUCUCAAGGGGUUUUCAGCCUUGGAAUAUUCUAGAAUGAUGCAUAGGAAUAAAAAAAUAAGUUGGGGGAGUUCCCGUCGUGGCGCAGUGGUUAACGAAUCCGACUAGGAACCAUGAGGUUGCGGGUUUGGUCCCUGCCCUUGCUCAGUGGGUUAACGAUCCGGCGUUGCCGUGAGCUGUGGUGUAGGUUGCAGACGCGGCUUGGAUCCCGCGUUGCUGUGGCUCUGGCGUAGGCCGGUGGCUACAGCUCCGAUUCCACCCCUAGCCUGGGAACCUCCAUAUGCCAUGGGAGCAGCCCAAGAAAUAGCAAAAAGACCCCCAAAAUAAUAAUAAUAAUAAUAAUAAUAAUAAAAGUUGGGGAAUGAAGAUGGUCAUUUAGAGUUAAGGCAACACGCAUGCCACAAACAUGUGAUGAUACACAGGCAACAAUUUUUUAAGUUUUUUGACCACCUUUACCCAUUUUGUCCACCCCUGCCCCUGUACCAAUCUUCCAAUUUUUAAAAUUGGAUCAAAGCAAUGUUUUUUUUACUGUUGGUCAAGACAGAAGUUAUUUCCACUGACAUCCAAAAUAUGGGUUGAAGAGAAAUACCUAGAUAUUGAAGAGGAAUGUCAGGAUUGAAAUAAUUGAAGGGACAAUGUCAUGCAAGGUAGUAGUUACAAGUUAUCAUAUAAAUAUUCUUAAGAACUUAUUUAGUAACAUUUGCAGCCUAAAAUGAAUUUUAAUCUGUGAAAAUACAAAAAAGGGUUAAGUAUAUUUAUGAAAAAUGUUGUAUUUAUUUAAUCCAUUCAGCUGUAUCUGUUGCUAUCCCCAAGAUCUAUUAAGCGCUGCCUUGAUCAUGGUUCAGUCAGCUCAGACAAAGCAAUUUCAAAGCUCUCUUCUUUCCCCUCAUUCAUUUAACAAGUGUUUAUUGCAUGUUCAUUAUUUGUAGGAUGCUGUAUAUACUCUGGGCUGCAAUUCAGAUCCAGGCUUUGUGUCACCAAGAACUUGCCAUUUAGCUGCAGGAGGUGGGAGUGCAUAAAUAACAGUUUUUAAGUGAUUAAAAAGCUCAAGGUCCAGCUAUAGGGAUCAGGAAGAGCUCCUUGGAGAAAGUGAUGUCUGGCAGGUGGUGGGCAAGGUGGGGACCAAGCAUUAGGAAGGGAAGAGGUUCGGGGCAGGUGGCAUAUGGGGAGUGGGGCUCGGAAGCAGGGGGUGACAUCUAAGAGCUUGGGCCCUGGAGUCUGUCAGGCCUGGGUCCUCCCUCAUUCCCCCGAGCUCAGGGACUGUCAUGAUGAACAAAGCUACAAUGGGCUCCAGUGCCACCCUGCAGACCUUGUGACUUGGAAAUUCAUCGAACAUUCUUGCACAUCUGACACGAGGACAGUGACAGCUCCUAUAUCAUAGUGCUGUCAGGAGGCUGAGAUGAGGCAUGUGAAGAGGGGAGCUUGCUGCGCAUGUGCCACUUCUUGUUGGUUCUCAUUGUUGGCUCAUUCAUUCAUUCAACAGGUAGUGUAGGUGCCCCUACUGGGGGCCAGGCCCUGUGUGGUGCACAGCAGUGAGCAGAACAAAGAUCUCUCCAUUGUGGAGCCUACGAUCUUGUGUGGGGUGGGGAUGGAGAAUAGGAGACAUAACUAAUGUGCAGUGGGCUAGGUAGUGACCCGUGGGAAAAA
RNAcentral lists this long non-coding RNA (6514 nucleotides) under Sus scrofa (pig). Its description in RNAcentral is "lncRNA (ENSSSCG00055008007.1)". The record is from RNAcentral. Lineage: Eukaryota; Metazoa; Chordata; Mammalia; Artiodactyla; Suidae.